This 995-nucleotide ribosomal RNA is filed under the name uncultured bacterium. RNAcentral describes it as "bacterial SSU rRNA". It matches the Rfam family "Bacterial small subunit ribosomal RNA", at positions 355 to 1375 of the family's 1533-position model. The record is from RNAcentral.
UGGGGAAUAUUGCACAAUGGGGGAAACCCUGAUGCAGCGACGCCGCGUGGAGGAAGAAGGUCUUCGGAUUGUAAACUCCUGUUGUUGGGGAAGAUAAUGACGGUACCCAACAAGGAAGUGACGGCUAACUACGUGCCAGCAGCCGCGGUAAAACGUAGGUCACAAGCGUUGUCCGGAAUUACUGGGUGUAAAGGGAGCGCAGGCGGGAAGACAAGUUGGAAGUGAAAUCUAUGGGCUCAACCCAUAAACUGCUUUCAAAACUGUUUUUCUUGAGUAGUGCAGAGGUAGGCGGAAUUCCCGGUGUAGCGGUGGAAUGCGUAGAUAUCGGGAGGAACACUAGUGGCGAAGGCGGCCUACUGGGCACCAACUGACGCUGAGGCUCGAAAGUGUGGGUAGCAAACAGGAUUAGAUACCCUGGUAGUCCACACCGUAAACGAUGAUUACUAGGUGUUGGAGGAUUGACCCCUUCAGUGCCGCAGUUAACACAAUAAGUAAUCCACCUGGGGAGUACGACCGCAAGGUUGAAACUCAAAGGAAUUGACGGGGGCCCGCACAAGCAGUGGAGUAUGUGGUUUAAUUCGACGCAACGCGAAGAACCUUACCAAGUCUUGACAUCCCUUGACAGGCAUAGAAAUAUGUAAUCUCUUCGGAGCAAGGAGACAGGUGGUGCAUGGUUGUCGUCAGCUCGUGUCGUGAGAUGUUGGGUUAAGUCCCGCAACGAGCGCAACCCUUAUGGUCAGUUACUACGCAAGAGGACUCUGGCCAGACUGCCGUUGACAAAACGGAGGAAGGUGGGGAUGACGUCAAAUCAUCAUGCCCUUUAUGACUUGGGCUACACACGUACUACAAUGGCGUUAAACAAAGAGAAGCAAGACCGCGAGGUGGAGCAAAACUCAGAAACAACGUCCCAGUUCGGACUGCAGGCUGCAACUCGCCUGCACGAAGUCGGAAUUGCUAGUAAUCGUGGAUCAGCAUGCCACGGUGAAUACGUUCCC